UCCGUGUUAACCACGGCAGUCUCCUUAGAGAGCCCAACUGAAUGCUGGCAACUAAGGACAAGGGUUGCGCUCGUUGCGGGACUUAACCCAACAUGUCACCACACGAGCUGACGACAGCCAUGCAGCACCUGUCUCCCGGUCGUAUUGCUACGAAAGCUGUAUCUCUACAGCGGUCCGAGGAUGUCAAACCCAGGUAAGGCUCUUCGCGUUGCUUCGAAUUAAACCACAUGAUCCACCGCUUGUGCGGGCCCCCGUCAAUUCCUUUGAGUUUUAGUCUUGCGACCGUACUUCCCAGGCGGGGUACUUAGUGCGUUAGCUCCGGCUCGGCGGGGGUCAAGACCCACCAAGCCUAGUACCCAUCGUUUACGGCGUGGACUAC
RNAcentral lists this unclassified non-coding RNA (379 nucleotides) under uncultured Oligoflexales bacterium. RNAcentral's name for it is "contains 16S-23S intergenic spacer region". The record is from RNAcentral. Lineage: Bacteria; Pseudomonadati; Bdellovibrionota; Oligoflexia; Oligoflexales.